RNAcentral lists this ribosomal RNA (711 nucleotides) under Teucrium orientale var. puberulens. RNAcentral's name for it is "eukaryotic LSU rRNA". The stretch from base 300 to 455 matches the Rfam family "5.8S ribosomal RNA". The record is from RNAcentral. Lineage: Eukaryota; Viridiplantae; Streptophyta; Magnoliopsida; Lamiales; Lamiaceae.
AUUUUAGAGGAAGGAGAAGUCGUAACAAGGUUUCCGUAGGUGAACCUGCGGAAGGAUCAUUGUCGAAACCUGCAAAGCAGACCGCGAACACGUGUUUAACAAAUUCGGGAAGGCGGCGAGGGGGCGUGCCCCCUUCCGCUGCCCCAACCCCGCACGGGACGUGCGCUCCCGCGUCGUGCCGUGCGGGACUAACAAACUCGGGCGCGGAAUGCGCCAAGGAUAACUCAAAGGAGCAUCCACCGCCCCACGCCCGUCCGCGGAGCGCUGGGACGGACCGGAUGCCCGUCGUAUACCAAAACGACUCUCGGCAACGGAUAUCUCGGCUCUCGCAUCGAUGAAGAACGUAGCGAAAUGCGAUACUUGGUGUGAAUUGCAGAAUCCCGUGAACCAUCGAGUCUUUGAACGCAAGUUGCGCCCGAAGCCAUUAGGCCGAGGGCACGUCUGCCUGGGCGUCACGCAUCGCGUCGCCCCCCUCCUCCCUCGGGAGCGGGGGGCGGAGAAUGGCCCCCCGUGCGCCACUCGCGCGGCCGGCCCAAAUGCGCUCCCAAGGCGACGCACGUCGCGACCAGUGGUGGUUGAACUGUCAACUCGCGUGCUGUCGUGGCUAGAGGCGUCGUCCGACGGGAACACGAAACAUGACCCAACGGCGCACUGCGCCCACGACCGCGACCCCAGGUCAGGCGGGACUACCCGCUGAGUUUAAGCAUAUCA